AGUGAACGCUGGCGGUAGGCCUAACACAUGCAAGUCGAACGGCAGCACAGUAAGAGCUUGCUCUUACGGGUGGCGAGUGGCGGACGGGUGAGGAAUACAUCGGAAUCUACUUUUUCGUGGGGGAUAACGUAGGGAAACUUACGCUAAUACCGCAUACGACCUACGGUUAAAACCGGGGAUUCUCGGACCUUGUGCGAUUGAAUUAGCCGAUGUCGGAUUAGCUAGUUGGCGGGGUAAAGGCCCACCAAGGCGACGAUCCGUAGCUGGUCUGAGAGGAUGAUCAGCCACACUGGAACUGAGACACGGUCCAGACUCCUACGGGAGGCAGCAGUGGGGAAUAUUGGACAAUGGGCGCAAGCCUGAUCCAGCCAUACCGCGUGGGUGAAGAAGGCCUUCGGGUUGUAAAGCCCUUUUGUUGGGAAAGAAAAGCAGCAGGUUAAUACCCCGCUGUUCUGACGGUACCCAAAGAAUAAGCACCGGCUAACUUCGUG
Molecule: ribosomal RNA, 491 nt
Filed under: uncultured bacterium
Lineage: Bacteria
Description: partial 16S ribosomal RNA
Rfam family: Bacterial small subunit ribosomal RNA
Source: RNAcentral